GGCCUAACACAUGCAAGUCGAGCGGUAGAGAGAAGCUUGCUUCUCUUGAGAGCGGCGGACGGGUGAGUAAUGCCUAGGAAUCUGCCUGGUAGUGGGGGAUAACGUUCGGAAACGGACGCUAAUACCGCAUACGUCCUACGGGAGAAAGCAGGGGACCUUCGGGCCUUGCGCUAUCAGAUGAGCCUAGGUCGGAUUAGCUAGNUGGUGGGGUAAUGGCUCACCAAGGCGACGAUCCGUAACUGGUCUGAGAGGAUGAUCAGUCACACUGGAACUGAGACACGGUCCAGACUCCUACGGGAGGCAGCAGUGGGGAAUAUUGGACAAUGGGCGAAAGCCUGAUCCAGCCAUGCCGCGUGUGUGAAGAAGGUCUUCGGAUUGUAAAGCACUUUAAGUUGGGAGGAAGGGUUGUAGAUUAAUACUCUGCAAUUUUGACGUUACCGACAGAAUAAGCACCGGCUAACUCUGUGCCAGCAGCCGCGGUAAUACAGAGGGUGCAAGCGUUAAUCGGAAUUACUGGGCGUAAAGCGCGCGUAGGUGGUUAGUUAAGUUGGAUGUGAAAUCCCCGG
This 566-nucleotide ribosomal RNA is filed under the name uncultured earthworm cast bacterium. RNAcentral's name for it is "bacterial SSU rRNA". It matches the Rfam family "Bacterial small subunit ribosomal RNA", at positions 45 to 606 of the family's 1533-position model. The record is from RNAcentral.